AAAAAUGCUCCGCGUUGGAGCAUUUUUCAUUUUUAAAUAUUUGAAGUCAAAUUGAAAAAUGCUCCACGCCAGAGCAUUUUUCAUUUUUCAAU
RNAcentral lists this small RNA (92 nucleotides) under Mytilus galloprovincialis (Mediterranean mussel). The record is from RNAcentral. Lineage: Eukaryota; Metazoa; Mollusca; Bivalvia; Mytilida; Mytilidae.